Molecule: transfer RNA, 17 nt
Filed under: Calluna vulgaris (heather flower)
Lineage: Eukaryota; Viridiplantae; Streptophyta; Magnoliopsida; Ericales; Ericaceae
Description: partial tRNA-Phe
Source: RNAcentral
UCAGGAUAGCUCAGCCU